CAACAAACAGCAACCAACCUUGAGCUUUUAAGCUUGGCAUAAGUUAAAAAACUAAGCUUUCCACUGGACAUACUCUCUAAAGGAUAAGCAGCCGCUCGCCAUCAAAAAUUAGACAAAAUAACAAUUGUUGUUUGAAGACAGUAGUUUGCAUCUGUCAUGAUGGGAGCAAACACAGAAGGUUCCUAUUGUGACAUCACAGAAAGCUCUGUUCUUUGUGAAACCGCCAAGUAAUCAGCAUUGCAUUAUUUAUUUUUGGUUCGAAAUACAUCCAGCUCAUGACAAAAGUCGACACCCGAGGUCCGUCAUGUGAAUGGUAGGAGGGGACAGAAGAGCCUUUUGGGAUGACCCUCAUCGUCAUCAUCAUCAUGCCAUGCAGGUCUGCCGGUGCAAAUGUGUUACCUGGAUGGGCCUGAAUCCUCCCUUGAGAGCAGGAAAGAGAGAAAAGCCAAUUGCACUGCCCAGGCCCAGCAGAUGGGGACCCCUGCACUAAACACUCCAGACAGGCUUGUUUCUGUGUUUUAAUCAUCAUAAGAAACAGAGGACCUCUGGAAUGCAAAAUACGAUGCAACCGACGCUAACAAUGUGGCCUGGGUCAAAAGUCGUCAAUUCUCAGCUGGGCCUGCAUCGGAGAGAGAUGGUGGGAAGCACCACCUUGGCCUCUCGCACUGAAUGCUAAGCAGUGCCGCCAUUGUCUGAGAUUGCGCAGCAUCACACGCAUGCGCCGCAGGUUCCUCUGGCAACCAGGAACAGCAACAAACUACACAGACACUCACACACACUUUCAGGCAGCAUACCAUUCUGACGUUACAUGAGACUAGUUAACAUCCCAGCUAGCUAGCGUUUUAAUUUCUCAAAGUCAUUCAAACAAAGCAGAAAUGAUAAUCAAGCAUUGCUCAUCGGAAGAGGAAUGCUUUCAUGAAAAAGCUCUCAGAUCAAUAGCGCAGGUAUAUCAGACCACCAUCAGUCACAGGACACUCACAAGUCAGAUGACGAAGCACAAAAGUCAAAGUGUAAACAACUGCGGCAGAAAUUUCAACAAGCCAGAUUGUUCCGAUCUAUUCCACUUACAUAAAAUGUGCUGUAAACGCCUAGCGCUGCAUACACCCAUGAUAAACAUUUACAGCUAUGGAAAGUAGGUUAAACAAAUUCUACAGUCAGGAGUGUCAAACAAGGACACUGCACAGUUCGCAUAGAAAACCAACUAGUUUCUGGAUCUGUUCAACUUAACAAAUUACAGAACAUUUAGAGCCAGUGUUGGGUUACAAACAAGCACACAACACUACAACAACAGUUAAGUAACGGAUGUUUUUGUUUGCGCAGUUUUGAUCAAGUCAUGUUUCAAAUUCCUGCUCACACAUAAAAUACAUGCCAGCCCACCAGCUAGCGAUUUUAAGAAAAUCUGCACUGACAACCCUUACAAAAAACAGCUUUGAAAUAUUCCAUUGCGCAAGGUACUAUUGUCAACUCGGUAUCGAUACUACACUACAAAGAAAUCAAUACCAUUGGUUUAUGCUAUAUAGAUUGAAAAAAUAUAUUGUUACUUUUUUUUUUUAGUGUUUCCCCAUUGGUGGUCAGUACUUUUGACAAAAAACAACUUUGUUGUUGAAUUGCACCAAAAUUCACAGGACGUGACAAGGGAAUGCCCUAAAAUAAUCAGAAAAGAUACCAAAAAAAUCAACAGAAAGUGACUAGUAAAUGCCCCCAAACCCACAGAAAGGGACCCAAAAUGAACAGAAAGUGACCCGAAAAUUCCCCAAAAUCAAUAAGAAGUGACCAUUAAACAGGAAGGAACCCAGAAAUGCUCUAAAAUUAAAAGGAUAUGAUCCAAAAUGGGCAGAAGGUGAAUGUGGAAUGCCCAAAAAAUGUACCGGAAGUGACCCAGAAUGAACAGGAAGUGACCUGUAAGUCAUCCAACCCUAAAUUUAACAUGUAAGUGACCCAAAAUUAACUAAUUGCCUGUCUUUGACAACAAUAGACAUGCAAUUGAAUAAAACUGGGAUGCCUGGCUGUGAAUGCUCAUCUAUCAGUGCCAUUGAUGGCACUAGACGUCCAAUUCAUUUUGAUUGGUGGGGGGAUCUUCCCAGUCCAAAAGAAUUGGACGUGUAGCAUCGUCAAUAACAGCCAGUGAGUUCACAAGGAAAAUGAAAAAAUAUCCUUGAUUACAAUUACUAUCAAGAGUAGUACAAAAUCCAAUUUACUAUGUGACAACAAAUUCCUGGUGAUCUGUUGUAGUGCACAAAAAAAGCUAAGUAUAGAUACUUUUGCUAUCAAAUAUCGUACCUGGAUGCAACAUUUCAGUCUCGAUACUUUUGACAACCCAUUUUAUGUAUUUCAACUCCGAUGCUAGUUUGUUUGCAGUAAACAAUAGGACACCUACUAAGUGCUACUACAAGAAUUGCUAUCUGGACUUUUGACAAACUUGCCAAUGCCCAGAAUCAACAUUUGAAGCCAAACAAACAAUAUAUUAAUAAAGUAUUGCUUUUAUUAUUAAUUUCUGCCAAUUUCUCCAUAUAAACAAAAUGAAGUAUUUUCUACUUUGAACUGUUUCUGAAAAACUAUCUACGACCUUAAUUUUUAAUGAAGGAACUUAUUCGAUUAUUUUGUAUCUGCGUGAAAAUUACAGCCCCACUCCAAAAAUUACCUUACCUUACACUGGCGACAUGUGGUUGCGGUGCAAACAAUUUAUCUUCCUAGUUACCGUAAUUGUGAAAUUAUGGCACACUUUGGACAUUGUCAUUUAUGGACCGUUUCCUUCUGGCUUGGCACCAUCGUGCCAACCCAUUUCCACAUGGAGUAGUACAUAACUUUGGUCAGUUUGGUAAAACUACCCCUUGCAAUGCUUGAGGCACAGCCUCGAUCUUUUAUUGUUGCAGCCCAACUUGUGUCAUUUGAUCUUAACGUGAACACUUUCAUUGUUCAAUAUCUUAUCAGUGCAAUUUACAUAUGACUAAAUGACACAGGUUUAUGUUGUGUCAGGUAUAAACAUAUUUAUGUCACACUGCUGUUGCCAUAGUGUGCACUUCCUGUGGGUGUGGUAUUACAGUAUAAAAAGGAAUCUCUGUUAUGUCUCUGUGACAUAUAUGAUGAGAAGCACACUAGAGGUGUGCAAAAUUUCCGAUUCUUAGAUUAUUCGCGAUUCGGCCGUGGAAGAUUCGAGAACGAUUCACAAACAUCCAAAUUCCGAUUAUUGAAAUAUGCCAAGUAAAGCGGAAGUACAACACACUCAGCGCGCCGCGCGGUCAAUGAGCAACGGAGCGAGAGUAGCUAAACAUCAUGCUUCUCAUUACCCGGCCCCUCGGGUAAUGCCAAUGCUCACCUCACGGCUCUAGCUCAACUCAUGCCACGAGAUAAAAAAACACAACAACAUACCUGAAGCUGCUACAAAAGUACGUCAUCCACAUAAUGUUACGGUAGAUAUCAUUUAUAUAAGACUAGAUGCACUACGGUUGCGGUAGCGUUUGCAGCACAUCUACAAAAAGCUAGAUGCAGACGUAGUAAACGGCCGCCAUCUUAAAGCAGUACACUUCUCUGCAAGGCUGUUGUAGCGAACCUUCCAAGCAAACCUAAUUAACUUUUUAUCUAAAAUACUCCUAAAUCGGUAAAAUAUUGACUUGAAUCUAUCUUUAAAAUAGUUUUAAAACUUUCUCAUGUCGAAAGUUGACAAAAGGGAAAUUAUGGAUUAACGGGAGCAAUUUUAACAACUUUAACGGUUGAUUCACAACAUUAAAUUAAUUGAAUGUAGUUUAAAGCUGCUGAUACAGAAUGGGGACUGUAGUUUUUUAUUUACUGUUAUUUUUGUAUAUUUGUUUACUGCUAUAUGUUAACUUGAUACUGAAAUAGUAGUUUGGUUUAGCCUGAGAGUAUUUUUGAACAAUUUUGGAACAAAUGUACAAAAUAUUAAAAAAAAAAAAA
This is a long non-coding RNA of Corythoichthys intestinalis (scribbled pipefish), 3912 nucleotides long. RefSeq lists it as uncharacterized. NCBI's taxonomy places the organism in Eukaryota, Metazoa, Chordata, Actinopteri, Syngnathiformes, Syngnathidae. The transcript is spliced from 5 exons. The record is from RefSeq and is a predicted model, not a curated record.